UUGUGAGGCUGUGAAAGUCUUAUCGAAUUUCCUGAAGAUAUGGAGAAACUUAUCAACAUAAGAUUUCUCGACAUUACUGACACUUCGAGCCUAAGAGCGGUGCCACUGUAUAUAGCUAAUUUGGUGGGUCUUGAGAUGCUGUCCAAGUUUAUAGUGGGAACGGAAACUGAGUUGAGGUUGAAGGAGUUAAAAAAACUGAAGAACCUUCGAGAGGAAUUGUGCAUCUUUGAUUUGCAUAAGGUUCAAGACGCCGGAGAUGCCAAGGACGUCGAUUUACUCACGAAGGAGGGAAUAUGUCGGUUGACCUUGCAGUGGAGUAAAGAUUUUGAAAAUUCCCGGAAUGAAGAGCUUGAAGCAAAGGUCCUUGACUUUCUUCGACCACACCAAAACGUUGAAAAUCUCGUGAUAUCCUACUAUGGUGGCAUAGAAUUCACUUCAUGGUUAGGAAAUCCCUCACAUGUUCACAUAGUGCAUUUACAUUUACAUGAGUGUCGUAGGGCCAAAGCAUUACCAUCACUUGGACGGCUAUCUUUGCUGAAAGAACUGCACAUCGAAGGUCUAGAUGCAAUAAGUAGGAUAGGUUUUGAAUUUUAUGGAGCUGAAAGUCCUUUUCCGUCCUUGACAACUUUGAAAUUUAGGAACAUGCCAUUGUGGGAGGACUGGUCUCAUUGUGUUGGCUCUGAAGAAGGAGUUGUAUUCCCCAGUCUUGAGCAUCUCGUUCUUAGGGAUUGUCCUAUGUUGAUAAAAAGAUUGCCUAGUCAACUAAGCUCCCUCAUAGAGCUCGAAAUCGACUCCUGUCCGUGUAUGGAUGCCUCGCACUUUGACAUUAUUAGCCUUCCAUCUCUCAAUGAGUUAGAAUUUAAAGGCUGUAAUGAGGGGGUGUUGAAGAGUUUGGUAGACUUGACAUCUCUAACUACUCUUGUCAUAGAAAACACUGCCGAACUGACUUGCUUAAAUCGUGAGUUUACAAGCUUCUUGAUCAAACUAGAGAAGUUGGAGAUGGUACAUUGUGACGAGUUAAUGUUCUUGUGGCAAGAUAGAGAUGUAGUUGAGAAGCUCAGCUGUCUAAAAAGCUUAUGUGUAGAGGGUUGUCCUAAAUUCAUGUCUUUUGUGGCUGGAGAAGAAGAUAUAAAGCUACCCAACAACCUCGAAACUAUCAACUUGUUUGGUUGCAUCAAUUUAGAGAAGCUCCCAAGCAAAAUGCACACCCUCUCCUCUCUUAGACGCUUGAUCUUGAAUUGUCCAAAACUGGUGUCCUUUCUCGAAACAGGCAUAUUGACAUCAGUGAGAUCAAGAAAUAUUAGUGGCUAUGAUCUGUCGCAAUCUCUACCCACUGGAUUAAGUAUUCAUCCCGAAGGACCAAGUAGCAGCAUUAACCACGUCGACAUAACGUCUUGUCUACAAGAAUUAAUAAUCUACGGAUGCAAGUCCCUACAAGCAUCUCCAUUUAGUGAGGGUAGAUUUUUACCUAUGACCCUCAAGAGACUUGAAAUUGGUGACUGCUUGGGAGUGGAGUCGCUUGCGGAGAUAAUUCUAGACGACCGUCAGUCACUUCAAGUGAUUCAUAUUUGGAGUUGCAAAAAUUUGAGAAGCUUACCUCAAGGCCUGCACACACUGUCCCAUCUCACUUCCUUGACAUUGAGAAGGUGUCCUGCUCUGGAGCUAGAGUGCUUUCCCCCUCUUCCUCCUAGCAUCUCGACUUUUUGUCUUGAGGAUUGUCCGAAUAUAAAAGCGUUGCCUAAUCAGUUGAGUCAACUCGCGUGUCUCCAUGAAUUAAGAUGUGACGUUAUGCAGUUUCCCGACGGAGGAUUGCCACCCCAGCUACGAGAACUCUCGGUAACGAUACGCGGGAAUAUGAAGCAGCCGCUUCGGGAGUGGCUUACCCCCCUCACCUCCCUUCAAGAUCUGUGGAUCAUCGGCAACGCUGGAGGAGUGGGGAAGCAGGAGAAUCUUGCGCUUCCACCCCUUCCCUCUUUGCACCGCCUGUGGAUCGAUAAAAUGGAAAAUGUGGAAAGACUGUCUAGCAAUCUCCCUUCGUCUCUCCAGAGGUUAACAAUCCAUAGAUGCCCGAAGCUGAGGGAGUUGCCUCUGGAUGACCUCCCUCCCUCCCUAAAAAAACUCGACAUCUACGAUUGCCGGAUUCUGGAGGAGCGAUGCAAAAAAGGGACCGGCCGCUAUUGGCACCUCAUCCGCGAAAUCCCAGAAAUUAGUUUGAAUUUAAGGACAAUUACUUAAAAGGAUUUGGACUCGAAUAUUACUUGAGGGAGUGUUCGCUUUGGUGCCCUCUCUGCUUAGUAGCUGUGAUCGUGGUGGGUGCGAUGAACCAUCUACGGUUCCUACGGAGAUGGCGUCGGAAUUGUCUGAAUGCCUUCUUCCAAAGUCAUUCUCGCGACAUGACUCCGGACGUGCAUUUGCUCUCAUCAAAAUCAGGAAUCAUUCCGCCAUUUCCUUCUCCUGCUCUACUCUCCUACUUGAAGUCUACCCAGAUUCGGCCAUCAGUUCCCCCUGUCCAUUGAAAUGCUUCGCGUGACUCCCACAAACCGGUGAAGAUGCCGAUGAAUCUGGGCUGUCAUUAAGGGACUGUCGCGUUUGAAUUUGGAUUUCUCAGAUUUCAUUGGAAUUCGAUUGGUGAAUUUACUCAGCGACCUAUGGAAAGGUCUAAUUACCCUUCCUUCACCAUCGCCUUACCAGUAAGUCUAGGAGAAGUUGCUGAAGGCCCUGGAUGUGAGUUUGCUUCUCAUUGUAGGGUCGAAGGGACAUGCCACUGCAGGCUUUUUUGUUAAGAUCUUGACUUUUGUGCAAACUUUUCCAUGAUCUCUUGGUUCUCGAAUUUCUCAUGAGGAUAGCAUUCACCAGAAGUGCAAGAAACUCAGUAUUAACUUUCAGUCUGCAUUUACAAAUACAACAUACUUAUUCCCACACACGUGAUCUUUAUUUCUGAGCAUACUGUGAUGCACAUCAAGAUCUAUGUGGGAAUCAGAUUUAUUGCGCCUCAACCCUUCCAUUCCAGCAGUUUACUCACCAUCCAAGAUUUGGGAACGGUUUAGUCAGUUUAAGUGCAGAUGCAAAUGAAGGAAUUUUGCAUCCUGGAUAGCACGCAAUGAAAUCUCUGCUUGUUGUUCAUUUUGAUAACUAUUUCUAGUCUGCUUCCUGGAAUCAAAGUUGCAUAGCGCUGCAGUUGCUGUUUGGCAAAGUUUAAAAGAGCUUUCUUUUGGAAGGGAGAUCCUGAUACUAAAGAGGGUACAAAACUUAGAUGGGACACCGUUUGUCUUCCUAAUCUGUUUGGCGGGCCUUGGCAUUGGAAGACUGGAUUUUUAAAUUCUUGCUUGUGUUUUGAACAGUCUGUGGAGCAUUUUGUUGAGGCCAAAGGAUUUGCUGUAAUUCGUAACUCUCAUUGGACGUGGCCAGCUGCUAGGUCUGAAGAGUUGGUUUCCACCUAAGCUGCAGUUUGUGGUGUGAUUUUUCCUAUUUCCUCAGCUGCAGAAAGAGUCGUAUGCACAGCUUCGUCAAAUGGUUGCCUUUUCGUUGCUCAAGAAAUUGUCAGAAACAAGAGUGCUCCCCUAAUGUGCCAAGUUUGGCCUUGUUUCUUGGUUGGUAAUACAUGAUAAACUUCCCACUUUUCAGAGGAUUAACAGUUGGUCUGUUGGGAAUACUAGAUCUUUUUGCUGGUUCUGUAAUCUAAGCACUAUAUCUUGGUGUCAUCUCUUUUUUAAGUGUAGUUUCUCUAAUCAACUGUGGAGCAAGGUAGUGCAGCUUUGUUCUGUCAAACUAUCAUUGAAUCUCACUGUCAUCUUAUUCUUGAAGUUUAAUGGAAUCAAAAUUAUCAGGUUCUUUUUUAAGCAUAAUUUUGAGAGUUGUCUUGGUCUUUAAAACAAGAUUGGCACUUAUAAGCAUCGUAGGUUAUGUCUUGCUUGGAACAGAACUUUGUGAAAACUAUCCCACUAGUAAGAUAGUUUUUUUUUUUUUUUUUUUUUUUUUUUUGGCAUUCAUGGUAAUUUCGCUUUGUUAUGUCCGAAGCAAAUAUCACCUCCAAAUUGGGCUUUGCUAGCAUAAUAGUCUUUGGACUACUACCAAAAUAAUGGCAUGUUAUGAGUUACAAAUUCUUGAAGAAGUGGAUCUUACAACAAUUUACAAUUAUUUGUUAUUUGUUUUUUUUGUGGUUAAAACAGUCUGUUAAUCUCAUAGUAGAUUAAGAACAGUCACUUAAUCAUUUCUUCUCAAAAUUUGAACUAUUUCUUGUAGUUAUUUGCCAUGAUACCAGCAUUACAAUGAAGAAUUUAUUUGGGAUGGUCGGUGGUAUUUGUGCUUGGGCUUACUUUUAAAAAGCAAGUUUGCCAAUGAAGACCUCUUCCAAGAAGCAGCCCUACGUCUUUGACAAGAAAAUCCAACUUAUGAAGCCUUUUCUCUAUUGCCUAUUUAUUUAGGACCAUUGAAGGGAAAGUUCUUGACUGUUUUGAGCAAUGCAGAUAUUUACAUGUUUUCGACUUUCAAAGCCUGGAGGUGCUGUGGCUGUCAAUGUAUUGGAACCUUCAUCUGUUCCUUUUUAUCAGUGAUUAAAUUUCCUGAAGGUGUGUCUGCAUAUGUUCUGCAUCUUGUUUCAUACUCAUCAUAGUCAAAGGACUGGGCAGAGCAAAAAAAGGUCUUUUAAAUCACUGUCAAUCUCUACAUACUAUUUUGGAUCCCAUAUAGAAGAUGGUCGUUGUUGAGGGAGUCUUAUACACAUUUUAUGGACUUUUGUGAACUUAGAGUAUAUAUGCAGAGUAAUAGAUGUUAAUCAAUUACGGCUACGUGACUUGGAAUCUUCCAGUCUUAUGAUUAUUCAAAACAUAUGCAGAUUGUCAUAAAUUGAUAGAAUUAGUACUUCCUAUGCAUGCUAUGUGAAAAGUUCUCACUUUGCCUUGAGCCCUCUUUCACUUUCGAUAAUUAUAUAAUCCCUGCCAAUGGAUGGGCGAAGUCUCUAGCUUCAAAAUAUAUGAUUGAGCAUUGUGACUUAACUGCGUAUGGUUCGAGCCAUUGAUUGUCUUAUGCAUCAUUGUACUUCUAGGAUAUGUUAUUCCUUCCCCCUUUGAUGAAGACUCGGGACAGAUGUUCAGAAUUCAUGGCUAGGUUUCUUUUUGCAUUUGCAGGUUACUGUAUUCAAGCAAUCUGCAAGUAAAUUAUCAUCUCUGAGUGAAAAGCUGAUUGGUAUCACAGCAGACAACUUCUGAUAGCUUUUGGGCGUAACUUGGGGUGUAAAAAAUACCUCUUUCAUCAUCUCCUUCCCCAUGUGGUCUACACCUCAGUCACCUACCUAUGCUUUGCCACUCCACUCCGUUGUCCUCACCUCCAUCACCGUCUCCAUCUCAUGAAGAUUUCAUUAAAAUCAAGAUUACAUUGGAAUUCCAUGGGUGAAGUUUGUUGGUACGACCCAGUGACCAAUAGAAAGGUCUAUAUACCCUUUCCUUCACCAUUGCCUCACCAGUAUUUAGGCUAGGAGAAGAUGCUGAAGGGGGACCUUGGAUGUGAGAUUGCUCCUUGUUGUAGAGAAGAAGGGACAUGCUAUUGCAGGCUCUGUUCUUAAGAUCUGGACUUUUCCAUGAUUAGUUGGUUCUCAAAUUACUCACGGGGAUAGCAUUCACCAGAAGUGGAAUGAACUCGGUAUUAACUUUCUGUCUGCAUUUACCGAUACAAAGUACUUAUUCCCACUCACAAUCUUCUCAUUUCUGAGCAUACUGUGAUACACAUUGAAAUCUAUGGGGGAAAUGGAUUUAUUGCGCUUCAACCCUUCCAUUCCAGCAAUGAAGGCAUUUCUUGGACUGGAUUGCACUCAAUGAAAUCUUUGCCCUUUGUUCAUUUUGAUGACUAUUCAUAUUUUGCUUCAUGGAAUCAAAAGUGCAUAGCCCUGGACUCUGGAGUUGCUGGCUGGCAAAGUCGGCCAAAAUUAUCUGCUGUAUUUGGUAACUCUCAUUGGAAGUGGCCCACUGCUACGUCUAAAGAGUUGGUUAUCGUCCAAGGUGCAGUUUGUAGUGUGAUUUUUCCUAAUUCCUCAGCUGCGGGCAAAUUUGGAUGCCCAGCUUCGUCAAAUGGUUGCCUUAACUCUUUUGUUGCUUGGGAGAUUGUUCGAAACAAGGGUGCUAAUGUUGACUGGCACAAACCUGUGUGGUUCUCCCCUAGUGUUGCAAGAUUUGGCUUUAUAUCUUGGUCGGUAAUACAUGAUAAACUCCCUACUUUUGAGAGGAUUAACAGUUGGUCUGUUGGGAGUACUAGAUUUCUCUGCUUGUUCUGUAAUCUAAGCAUUGAAUCUUGCUGUCAUCGAUUUCUUGAGUGUAGUUUUUCUAACGGACUACAGAGCAAGGUACUGCAGCUUUGUUCUGUAAAACUAAUUACUGAAUCUCACUGUCAUCUAAUUCUUGAUGUUUAAUGACAUCAAAAUUAUCAAGUUAUGUUAGGAAUAGUUUUGAGAGU
This is an RNA transcript of Eucalyptus grandis, 6444 nucleotides long. RefSeq lists it as uncharacterized. NCBI's taxonomy places the organism in Eukaryota, Viridiplantae, Streptophyta, Magnoliopsida, Myrtales, Myrtaceae. The record is from RefSeq and is a predicted model, not a curated record. The transcript has 9 exons.